CCUGAGGUAGCAGUAAUUCUUUGUUCCAGACUCAAAUAUAUGGCCGGCCCCUCGAGAAGUGCCUGAACCAUAAUGAUAAUGCUUAGUGGGAAAAUGUGCUGGAAACAACCUGUGAAAAGGCAAAGAAUGAAACAGAGAGAGCCAGGAACUCAGCACAGGAAGAACCUCGCUUGUUGACUUUGCCUGCUGCACCUUGAAAAGCCCUGAGUCUCUGACUGCUGAUCCUGGACUUUUAGAGCUGGAAGAGAGAUUUGAGAUGACUGAGCCAAUCCUGUCCCUCUUUAGGUGAGAGCAAUGCAGUCAAAGAGGAGAAUAGAAUUGACUUGUUGAACAUCGUACCAGAAAGUGCUCCACAUUUCCUCAUCUCUUCUUUGAUGACUAGAAGCUGUCUUCAGGAUGGUUUAGGAGAGAAUUUCACAAAAAUAAACAGACAAUCUGUUCCUUCAAGAUAAAGGUGAUGUUUUAACAAUGCAUGAGAAAGUCAUUGGUUUUCAAAAGAGUCUUGUCUGAUGGCGAGAGCAUUUUUGAAAAUAGAUGGUCAGAAAUCUGUCCAACGUUAUGUGAUUUUGUUGCUAAAAAUGACGUGUAUCAGUUAUAAAAACCUCAUAUCUGCACACUUAACUUUGAAACUGAAAUUUCCAACUCCCUUCAGAAAUCUUCCAAAUGGAGAGUUUGCGUUUGCAAUGUAUUGAGGAAUUCUAGGGAGGACGGUGGUGCAGACCUGGCUCAUCUAAGGCAGGCGAGCUAACGCAAGGGAGAGAGCAGGCACGGGGCGAGACGGCAAGCCUGUGCUCCUCGGCCACGCUUUCGGGGCCCGGGAAGAAUCCAUCCACAUCUUCAUUGUUUUCCCUGAUACCACGAGUUGGCCUUCUCAGGAUGCCCAGACUGAUCUCUUUGUCAGCUGCCAACUGAUUUGUUUACCCCAAGAAUGUGCCUGCAGGAUUCACUAGUCCCAGGCUGCCAGCUGGGUUCUCCUCUCUUCCCUCUCAUGCCUCCUGUUUGUAAUUUUGUUUCAUGACAACAGUCCAUUGACCUUUCUGCCUCAUGUCUGAGUAAAUAAAUUGCGUG
RNAcentral lists this long non-coding RNA (1068 nucleotides) under Equus caballus (horse). RNAcentral's name for it is "lncRNA (ENSECAG00000049624.1)". The record is from RNAcentral. Lineage: Eukaryota; Metazoa; Chordata; Mammalia; Perissodactyla; Equidae.